Molecule: ribosomal RNA, 505 nt
Filed under: uncultured bacterium
Lineage: Bacteria
Description: partial 16S ribosomal RNA
Rfam family: Bacterial small subunit ribosomal RNA
Source: RNAcentral
GACGAACGCUGGCGGCGUGCCUAAUACAUGCAAGUAGAACGCACAGUUUAUACCGUAGCUUGCUACACCAUAAACUGUGAGUUGCGAACGGGUGAGUAACGCGUGGGUAACCUGCCUGGUAGCGGGGGAUAACUAUUGGAAACGAUAGCUAAUACCGCAUAAUAUUGAUUAUUGCAUGAUAAUUGAUUGAAAGAUGCUAUUGCAUCACUACCAGAUGGACCUGCGUUGUAUUAGCUAGUAGGUGAGGUAACGGCUCACCUAGGCGACGAUACAUAGCCGACCUGAGAGGGUGAUCGGCCACACUGGGACUGAGACACGGCCCAGACUCCUACGGGAGGCAGCAGUAGGGAAUCUUCGGCAAUGGACGAAAGUCUGACCGAGCAACGCCGCGUGAGUGAAGAAGGUUUUCGGAUCGUAAAGCUCUGUUGUAAGAGAAGAACGGGUGUGAGAGUGGAAAGUUCACACUGUGACGGUAUCUUACCAGAAAGGGACGGCUAACUACGUG